CCCCCUGGUUCUUUCCACUGUUGCCUAGUCUUCUCUCCGACUUGAGCGUUGGAGGGUCUCCACCAGAGACAUCUCCGGUCAGUGAGGACUUUCUUUGCAGGUGCGCGUUCCCGACGAUCAAACGACGAGGGGAUUGGCCGCAACAGAUUUGGCACGCCAGGAAGGGGGUGCAAGCGUGUCUUCUGCAGCCACGGCGGCGGUAAAAUAGCGAGCUCCAUAGAGCU
RNAcentral lists this long non-coding RNA (224 nucleotides) under Elaeis guineensis (African oil palm). Its description in RNAcentral is "long non-coding RNA (EGUI_LNC013708)". Lineage: Eukaryota; Viridiplantae; Streptophyta; Magnoliopsida; Arecales; Arecaceae. The record is from RNAcentral.